RNAcentral lists this ribosomal RNA (92 nucleotides) under Hordeum vulgare. The record is from RNAcentral. Lineage: Eukaryota; Viridiplantae; Streptophyta; Magnoliopsida; Poales; Poaceae.
GGAUCCCAUCAGAACUCCGAAGUUAAGCGUGCUUGGGCGAGAGUAGUACUAGGAUAGGUGACCUCCUUGGAAGUCCUCGUGUUGCAUUCCCC